UACGUAGGGGGCAAGCGUUGUCCGGAUUUAUUGGGCGUAAAGAGCGUGUAGGCGGCCAAACAGGUCAGCUGUGAAAACUCGAGGCUCAACCUCGAGACGUCGGUUGAAACCGCUUGGCUAGAGUCCGGAAGAGGAGAGUGGAAUUCCCGGUGUAGCGGUGAAAUGCGCAGAUAUCGGGAAGAACACCCGUGGCGAAGGCGGCUCUCUGGGACGGUACUGACGCUGAGACGCGAAAGCGUGGGGAGCGAACAGG
RNAcentral lists this ribosomal RNA (253 nucleotides) under uncultured bacterium. Its description in RNAcentral is "partial 16S ribosomal RNA". It matches the Rfam family "Bacterial small subunit ribosomal RNA", at positions 524 to 776 of the family's 1533-position model. The record is from RNAcentral.